Molecule: non-coding RNA, 109 nt
Organism: Acanthosepion pharaonis
Lineage: Eukaryota; Metazoa; Mollusca; Cephalopoda; Sepiida; Sepiidae
Source: the annotation of a GenBank genome assembly
GCCGUAUCACAUUGAAACACCGGUUUUCUUACGAUCAACGAAGUUAAGCAAGGUCGAGCUUGGUCACUAUCUUGAUGGGUGACAGCUUGGAAAUACUAAGUACUGUAAG